This 480-nucleotide ribosomal RNA is filed under the name uncultured bacterium. Its description in RNAcentral is "partial 16S ribosomal RNA". It matches the Rfam family "Bacterial small subunit ribosomal RNA", at positions 28 to 507 of the family's 1533-position model. The record is from RNAcentral.
GAUGAACGCUAGCGGCAGGCCUAACACAUGCAAGUCGAGGGGGAAGUUACUUUCGGGUGACUGUGACCGGCGUACGGGUGCGUAACGCGCAUAUAAUCUGCCUUUCACUGGGGGAUGGCCCGCAGCAAUUUGGAUUAAUACCUCAUAGUAUAUAGGGCCGGCAUCGUUUUUAUAUUAAAGCUUAUGUGGUGAAAGAUGAGUAGCCGUCCGAUUAGCUAGUUGGAGAGGAAACGGCUCCCCACGGCGAUGAUAGAUAGGGGUUCUGAGAGGGAUGUCCCCCACACUGGUACUGGGCUACUGACCAGACUCCUACGGGAGGCAGCACUGAGGAAGAUAGCAAUAUGGUCGGAAGACUGAUCCAGCCAUGCCGCGUGCAGGAUGAAGGUCUUAUGGAUUACAAACUUCUUGUGUAAGGGAACAAUAAGGGGUACCCGUAGUUUGAUGACGGUAACUGACGAAUAAGCAUCGGCUAACUCCGUG